GGAUUAAUGCGUCGGUCGUGCCUUCGGUACGUACUGGCGUCAUUGAUUCCUCCCUUCUGAAGAACCGUGAUGUCAUUAAUUUGGUGUUACGGGGAAUCAGGACUGUUACUUUGAAAAAAUUAGAGUGUUUAAAGCAGGCUAACGCUUGAAUACAUUAGCAUGGAAUAAUGAAAUAGGACGUUCGAACCUAUUUUGUUGGUUUCUAGGAUCGACGUA
Molecule: ribosomal RNA, 216 nt
Filed under: uncultured Glomus
Lineage: Eukaryota; Fungi; Glomeromycota; Glomeromycetes; Glomerales; Glomeraceae
Description: partial small subunit ribosomal RNA
Rfam family: Eukaryotic small subunit ribosomal RNA (bases 40-216)
Source: RNAcentral